Molecule: unclassified non-coding RNA, 363 nt
Filed under: uncultured bacterium
Lineage: Bacteria
Description: contains 16S-23S intergenic spacer region
Source: RNAcentral
UCCCGGUUGUCCCGGGCAGUCUCAUUUGAACAUUCAACAAAUGAUAGGGGUUGCGCUCGUUGCGGGACUUAACCCAACAUCUCACGACACGAGCUGACGACGGCCAUGCAGCACCUGUUACUGGAUUCCCGAAGGCACUCCCUGCUUUCGCAGGGAUUCCCAGAAUGUCAAGCCUUGGUAAGGUUCAUCGCUUAGCCUCGAAUUAAACCACAUCCUCCUCUGCUUGUGCGGCUCCCCGUCAAUUCCUUUGAGUUUUAAGCUUGCGCUCGUAGUCCCCAGGCGGGUCACUUAACGCGUUAGCUUUGCUGCACAGAGGGUCGAAACUCCAUACAACUAGUGACCAUCGUUUACGGCGUGGACUAC